RNAcentral lists this ribosomal RNA (402 nucleotides) under uncultured bacterium. RNAcentral's name for it is "bacterial SSU rRNA". It matches the Rfam family "Bacterial small subunit ribosomal RNA", at positions 28 to 430 of the family's 1533-position model. The record is from RNAcentral.
GACGAACGCUGGCGGCGCGCUUAACACAUGCAAGUCGAGCGAGAACCAGGCCUUCGGGCCUGGGGACAGCGGCGAACGGGUGAGUAACACGUGGGCAAUCUGCCCUCGGUUCCGGAAUAGCCCGGGGAAACCCGGAUUAAUGCCGGAUAGCCUCUUGAGCUUUCGGGCUCUCGAGAAAAGGUAGCUUUGGCCUCUGACCGAGGAUGAGCCCGCGGCGGAUUAGCUUGUUGGCGGGGUAACGGCCCACCAAGGCAACGAUCCGUAGCUGGUCUGAGAGGACGAUCAGCCACACUGGGACUGAGACACGGCCCAGACUCCUACGGGAGGCAGCAGUGGGGAAUCUUGCGCAAUGGGCGAAAGCCUGACGCAGCGACGCCGCGUGGGGAAGAAGCUCGUGUAACU